ACUACGGGUGGCAGCAGUGGGGAAUAUUGCACAAUGGGGGAAACCCUGAUGCAGCGACGCCGCGUGAAGGAAGAAGUCUUUCGGUAUGUAAACUUCUAUCAGCAGGGAAGAAAAUGACGGUACCUGACUAAGAAGCCCCGGCUAAAUACGUGCCAGCAGCCGCGGUAAUACGUAGGGGGCAAGCGUUAUCCGGAUUUACUGGGUGUAAAGCGUGCGUAGGCGGUUUAGCAAGUCAGAAGUGAAAGCCCGGGGCUCAACCCCGGGACUGCUUUUGAAACUGUUGAACUUGAUUGCAGGAGAGGUAAGUGGAAUUCGUGGUGUAGCGGUGAAAUGCGUAGAUAUUAGGAGGAACACCAGUGGCGAAGGCGGCUUACUGGACUGUAAAUGACGCUGAGGCUCGAAAGCGUGGGGAGCAAACAGGAUUAGAUACCCUAGUAGUC
Molecule: ribosomal RNA, 440 nt
Filed under: uncultured bacterium
Lineage: Bacteria
Description: partial 16S ribosomal RNA
Rfam family: Bacterial small subunit ribosomal RNA
Source: RNAcentral